GUAAGGAAUAUUGCGCAAUGGGCGAAAGCCUGACGCAGCGACGCCGCGUGGGGGAUGAAGGUCUUCGGAUUGUAAACCCCUUUUGGGAGGGAAAAUGGGACGAGCAAUCGUCCGGAUGGUACCUCCAGAAAAAGCCACGGCUAACUUCGUGCCAGCAGCCGCGGUAAUACGAAGGUGGCAAGCGUUGUUCGGAUUUACUGGGCGUACAGGGAGCGUAGGCGGUUUGGUAAGCCCUCCGUGAAAUCUUCGGGCUCAACCCGGAAAGUUCAGAGGGGACUGCCAGGCUAGAGGACGGGAGAGGAGCGCGGAAUUCCCGGUGUAGCGGUGAAAUGCGUAGAGAUCGGGAGGAAGGCCGGUGGCGAAGGCGGCGCUCUGGAACGUUUCUGACGCUGAGGCUCGAAAGCGUGGGGAGCAAACAGGAUUAGAAACCCCGGUAGUCC
Molecule: ribosomal RNA, 440 nt
Filed under: uncultured bacterium
Lineage: Bacteria
Description: bacterial SSU rRNA
Rfam family: Bacterial small subunit ribosomal RNA
Source: RNAcentral